AAAAGUGAAACCAAUAUUUGGUUAUAAAUUUCAUAAAAACUGAACCGUAUUUGGUAAAAAUACGUAUAUUUUAUUAAAAUUGGUUUCUCUUGAAAGUAAAAAUGGUUGUAAGAUAUCGAGGAGGGCGACAAAAAAAUAACUGUACAUAUAUAUCGAAGGUAUGAAGUUGAAAAGUGUUAGUGCUUCAUACAAGUGCUUUCCAAGUAAAGUGAACAAGCUCAAAUAUAACAUAUACAUAUUUACUACCUUCAAAUUUCACAUAAUGAAUCUGAAUGAAAUAAACAAAAUAGAAGGCACAUCGUUUAUGAAUGGUGAACUGUUUAAUGAAUUCUACAACGAUCUUGGGCACGAUUGCGGGCGAGGCUACUAUUUAUACAAAUUUUA
Non-coding RNA from Onthophagus taurus, 384 nucleotides. NCBI's taxonomy places the organism in Eukaryota, Metazoa, Arthropoda, Insecta, Coleoptera, Scarabaeidae. The record is from RefSeq and is a predicted model, not a curated record.